AACGCAAAUUGCACUUCUUUCCGAGGAGUAUGCUUGCUUGAGGGUUGGUCUACAAAAUAAUCGUGAAAAAAAACCAUUUUUUUUUCGCGGAUCUGGGUUUUCCGAGUUUUCUUAAAGACUUUGGUAACCUAAAAUUUAUCUUAACAGUCUUUAGGUAUUGAUAUUAGAAAUGUUCUAUCUUACAUAUUGUAAGUUCAUUGAUAAUUAUACCAGUUGUUACAUCGUAUUAUUCACCUAGUAUCUUUUUAAUUAGGUGAAAUAAUUCAACUUUUUUAAUCCUACCUCAAGUCAAGUAAGAAUACCCGCUGAACUUAA
RNAcentral lists this unclassified non-coding RNA (315 nucleotides) under uncultured fungus. Its description in RNAcentral is "sequence contains ITS2". Lineage: Eukaryota; Fungi. The record is from RNAcentral.